UUCAGAUUGCAGGCUGCAACUCGCCUGCAUGAAGUCGGAAUUGCUAGUAAUCGCAGAUCAGCAUGCUGCGGUGAAUACGUUCCCGGGCCUUGUACACACCGCCCGUCACACCAUGGGAGUCGGUAACACCCGAAGUCGGUAGCCUAACCGUAAGGAGGGCGCCGCCGAAGGUGGGAUUGAUGACUGGGGUGAAGUCGUAACAAGGUAUC
RNAcentral lists this ribosomal RNA (209 nucleotides) under uncultured bacterium. RNAcentral describes it as "partial 16S ribosomal RNA". It matches the Rfam family "Bacterial small subunit ribosomal RNA", at positions 1292 to 1500 of the family's 1533-position model. The record is from RNAcentral.